This 468-nucleotide ribosomal RNA is filed under the name uncultured bacterium. RNAcentral's name for it is "partial 16S ribosomal RNA". It matches the Rfam family "Bacterial small subunit ribosomal RNA", at positions 28 to 507 of the family's 1533-position model. The record is from RNAcentral.
GACGAACGCUGGCGGCGUGCUUAACACAUGCAAGUCGAACGGAAAGGCCCUGCUUUUGUGGGGUGCUCGAGUGGCGAACGGGUGAGUAACACGUGAGUAACCUGCCCUUGACUUUGGGAUAACUUCAGGAAACUGGGGCUAAUACCGGAUAGGAGCUCCUGCUGCAUGGUGGGGGUUGGAAAGUUUCGGCGGUUGGGGAUGGACUCGCGGCUUAUCAGCUUGUUGGUGGGGUAGUGGCUUACCAAGGCUUUGACGGGUAGCCGGCCUGGGGGGGGGAACGGCCACAUUGGGACUGAGGUACGGGCCAGACUCCUACGGGAGGCAGCAGGGGGGAAUAUUGCACAAUGGGCGGAAGCCUGAUGCAGCAACGCCGCGUGCGGGAUGACGGCCUUCGGGUUGUAAACCGCUUUCGCCUGUGACGAAGCGUGAGUGACGGUAAUGGGUAAAGAAGCACCGGCUAACUACGUG